This 159-nucleotide unclassified non-coding RNA is filed under the name uncultured Ascomycota. Its description in RNAcentral is "sequence contains ITS2". Lineage: Eukaryota; Fungi; Ascomycota. The record is from RNAcentral.
UACGCCAUUCGAACAUUGUUCGGUGUUGGGGCACUAGAUUCUAGGCCCUCAAAACCAUUGCGCGGUCCCAGGACCAGUAGCUGAGCACAGUAAACUUUACUGCUUCAGUUGCCCCUUGACCCAGCCGUAAAACCCCCAACAAGGUCUUUGACCGACUAU